Molecule: non-coding RNA, 33 nt
Organism: Flavobacteriaceae bacterium CG2_30_31_66
Lineage: Bacteria; Pseudomonadati; Bacteroidota; Flavobacteriia; Flavobacteriales; Flavobacteriaceae
Source: Rfam
AAUGCGGAAGCUGAAAAGCAUAAAGAGUAAGCA